This 4961-nucleotide long non-coding RNA is filed under the name Sus scrofa (pig). RNAcentral's name for it is "lncRNA (ENSSSCG00025037581.1)". Lineage: Eukaryota; Metazoa; Chordata; Mammalia; Artiodactyla; Suidae. The record is from RNAcentral.
GCCACACUCAUGGCAUAUGGAAGUUCCCAGGCCAGGGGUCGAAUUGGAGCUCCAGCUGCCAGCCUCCCCCACAGCCACAGCAACAUGGGAUCCGAAGCACAUCUGAGACCUAAACUACGUAUGGAUCACAGCAAUGCUGGAUCCUCUACCUACUGAGCGAGGCCAGGGCUUGAACCCACAUCCUCAUGGAUACUAGUUGGAUUCAUUUCCGCUGCACCACAGUGGGAACUCCUAUUGCCAGUCUUUGUAAUUCCUCAAGUUGAUCUAUUCCUGGACACAUCACAGAAUUUGUUGCAGAAUAAUUACUCAAUUUUGUUUCAGAAGAAUAAUUUUUGAACCUAUCUUUCCCUCCCAAAAUGUUUAUAUCUCUGCAUUUAAGUCACUUUUAUCUGACUUUAUAAAUCUCUUAUACUUCUGUGCACUUGGUAGAUACAUAUCCAUCUGAUUCUGUUCCUUCCCUUUCCCCUCCUCAUGCUUUUUUCCCCUUUCUGUAUCUUGCCUACUCUCCUUGUACAAUUUGAUGUUUCAGUGGAUACUUGCCAUAAAUCCUCGUCUCCAUUACUAUACAAAUCUCUGACUCCCUUGUUUCAGCAAGCAACAGAAAUUUCCCCAAGCAGAUAAUGCUGAAGAUCUUGAUGCAUAAUUGACUUUUUCUAUAGCUCCACUUCUUUGGUAGGAUGACUUUGUAAUAGGGCUUUAGGACUCUAAGAUCUUUUUAGUUCAGUAUUCUCUCAUUUUAUUUUGACUACAUGGACAAGUCUAGGCAUUAAAUCAUAUUAAUCAGCAUUUAUUUAUUUCUUUGCCAUUUUCAAAGUCUCCUACUCACUAAUUGGGUGUAUGUCUCUGAGAAUAGAGAUCUGGAGAGAUCCACAGAUAGUAUCUCAGAGUAGAUUUUUUUGUUGUUGUUCUUUUGGGGCCACACAUGUGGCAUAUGGAAGUUCCCAGGCUAGGGGUCGAACUGGAGCUGCAGCUGCCGGCCUACACCACAGGCACAAACAUGUAGGAUUCGUGCCAUGUCUGUGACCUAUACCAUAGCUCACAGCAACGCUGGAUCCUUAGCCCACUGAGUGAGGCCAGGGAUCAAACCCGCAUCCCAUGGACACUAGUUGUGUUUAUUACCUCUGAGCCACCACAGGAAUGCCUCUCAGAGUAGGUUUUGCACAAAUCUUGAGGAAUCCUCAGUGACAAACUAAAGGUGAUAAUUUAUCAUGCCUCAAAUUUUCUUGGCAUACAGAAACCAAGAAGAGGGAUGUUGAUGUUUCUGACAGUAAGAGUCCUUUGUAGAUAAAUUGAUAAUCCCCAAGGAAGGAAACUAUGCAUCUUUAUAUUUUUCUGAUUAAGAAGCAGACAGUGUAAAAGGCCCCUCUAAUUCACAUGCAUAUGGAUAAGGAAAAUCAUAUCUUCAAAAUCAUUCUUUGCAAUUUCCCCAUUGUUUUGUACAGCUUUUGGAGGCAUUGCAUUGACCUGUACCCCUUACAGCCGUGCCUUGCUUUUUUGUACUGACCUGUGGUCUUUGGCAAGUCCUGCAUUUUCAUCUGUAUUUUCACAGUUGAUUGAUUUCAUGAUCCAUGUUUUUAGAAUAAUAGCACCACUGACUUUAAAAACAUGCAAUGCUUACACCUUAAACCUCUGAAUGACUGCAGUAGGCUGUUUACCUUGUUCCUAAGAGGGAUGUCAGAGAUGAGAUGUGCCAUGAGAGUCUCCAAGUAGCAUAAUACUGAACGUGUUUUUCUUUUUAUCAGCUUCCCAUGUACUUUCAAUGCUUCUCUUAAUGAAAGUACCCAAGUUUGUGCAGCUUAACUAAGAAGGAAGGGUCUGACCUUCCAUUCUAUGAAUCCAAACCAGAAUCAAAACAUAAUUCCUUAGAGUCAGAGUCCUGCACUUGUAUAAUAAAAAAGAAAAAAGAAAAAAGAAAAAAGCAAAUAAUCCCUCUGUCCUGGCAAUGAUAGAGUUAGAAGAGGGAACUUUAAUAGAUGGAAAAUUCCUUAAUAUUUGUGUUCUAAGAGAGAUUAUUGUGAAAUCCUUACAAGGCAAGACAUGGGCUUCUUUGCAUUUUCUAUGUUAGCCAGAAUGAUACAGGUUUUAUUUGCUCUUUUUAGAGCAGACACAUGGGAAUCAAUUUCCUGAAGAAAGUAAAGAUGCCCUGUGGACCCAAGUUCAGAAGGUGCAAUUGUUACAGCUUUGAGAACAAGUUGUUAACAUGUGGCUGCAGAGAGAGGUUCCUGAGAGACCAUGAUAAGGGUUCCAGGAGAGAAUCCGCUACCACCCUGAGGUUUGUGAAGUUGAGGGCAAUGGAGUGAGAGCCAUGGGGAUUGGCAUGCCUGCCCUAGCCAUUGUUCUUAUUAUUUCCCCUUUAAUAACUCAUUUGGGCCAGUGCUUAUAUCUGAUAUAAAUGAGUUCCUUCACAGUGGAUGGCCAUGACCUUAAUGCCAGGGUAUGUCCAUUAAGAUCUUCAUACCUAAUAUUUCAAAAGCCCUGCCAGUGCACUUAACUUUGCAGGCAAAAAUUUAACCACAUUCAGCUUAUUCCAGGAACAGACAUUAUAUUGAUAACAUUAUCUGCAAAGAAAUUCAAGUAAUAUGCUCACAUGCAUAAACAAACACUAGUCACAGAACUUUCUGAUCAAGGUUGGGCCACACUGCAUUCUGUAAAAUUCAGGCCUUGCUAUUUCCCUAAAAUUUCUAAACUUUACUUAUCAGCAUGGGGAUAAAUCAUACUUGAUGCACUAAGGAACUAAUUCUUACUUUUAUCAGCACUUACUGCUUUAAAGGAGUCUCAGCAUUUACAUGUUUAAUUGGGUUUCAGAGGCAACAUAUUCCUCAUUUACAAAUUUUAUUGAAGCCUGUUAUGCCCUUGCUCACAAACUGACUCAUUUUGUUUUAUUUUUCCUUUUAAAAAUAUAAUUAUUACAAUUGACUACAUUACAUUAAUUCAACAUAAUGAGUUAUAUAUAUGUAUAUAUUUAUAUAUAUAUUUAUGUAUGUGUAUAUAUGACAAAAUGACCACAAGACAAUGAGUCUCACUGACAUCUGUCAUGAUGACAUAGUUACAGAAUUGUCCCCUUCUGAUAAGAACUUUUAAGAUCUACUCUUUUUUAGCAGCUUUCAAACAUGCAAUACCAUAUUAUUAACUAUAGUUCUAAUACUAUCCAUGAUAUCCUCAUAACAUAUAUUUUAUAAUUGGAAGUUUGAACAUUUUGAAUCAUUUCACCCAUUUUUUUUCCACCCCCAGCCCCCACACUUGGCAUCCAUCAGGCUGUUGUCUUAUCUCUGAAUUGGGUUUUUUCUUUUUUAGAUUCUUCAUAUAAGUAAAGUCAAACAGUAUUUGUCUUUCUCUGUCUAAUUUGUUUCAGUUAACAUUUAAGGUUAUGUUUCUGCAAAUAACAAGGUUUCCCUCUUUUUUUAUGGCUGAAUAGUUUUAUAUGUCAUAUUUUCUUUAUCCAUUCAUAUGUCAAUGGACAUUUAGGUUAUUUCCAUAUUUUAGCUAUUGUAAAUAGGGCUGCAAUGAAUCUGGAGACACACAUCUCUUUGAGUUAAUGUCUUCAUUUUCUUCAGAUGACUACCCAGAAGUAGAAUUGCUGGAUCAUAUGAGAGCUUUAUUUUUUAAUUUUUUGAGGAAAUUCUCUGCUGUUUUUCAUAGUGGUUUUAUGUAUAUUGGCUCACUCUGGGCCACCCAACAACAGAGGCUCCAAAUUGCAAUAACAACAGGUACUUUGUUUAGAGCUCUCCCCUCUUCUGCUCCUCAACAGAGACCCUUUCAUUACAGGGGCUUCAACAGCCUUCUCUCAGUCCUUCCAGUCCGUGGAUCAGCCGUGGUUUAUGGACUUGAGGUGCAAAAAACUAUCUUCCUUGGCUGCACCUUACACACUAUUAGGAUGGCGUCUGCUGGCUGUAUAGUGAGCCCUUCUGGGAAGAAAUGCUUUCACAAAUCCUGAGCCUGUGACUCUUUGUAGUCAGCUGGCCACUGUGCCUUGGGUCCUUGAGGCAGCACCCCACAAACUUGGCAUGGCCACAGAGGUCUCAUGAUUAAAAUGAAAAUGCCACAUAUAGAGCCAAACCUGGGCCCUCUAGCACAUCCUACCUACAGGAGGAAAUGGUUUCCAUGUCCUCGGUCCUUUGCUAGAUGCAAUGGUACCUGAAGAGGCCACCCUCUCUCAUAUCCACUGACCCCCUGAGGAGCCGUUGGGAUCAACUGAGUGAUCGGGAAAUGGAUUUUGUAUACUUUAUAGCUUCAGCACCACCAUCACAAACAGUAGAGCCCCCGGAGAAGCUGCUACAUUCUAUUCCCUAACCAAAGAUGGAAGCCAGGGGUCAGCACAGUCAUCUUAAUGCUAGAGGAUGUUCUGGCCAACAGUUGGCCCCUGUCCCAUGCCUAUAGGCUCUUGGGCCAUUGCCAGCAGUAACGGUCUGGUCUGGCCAAUGGUGGCAACCACAAUUCCAAGCCGAUUGCCCUUCUCUGUUGGGGAAAGGAAUGCCAGGAAUUUCUUGCCUCAUGGAUACCCCAAAUACAAGUUAAGUCCACAUGUGUUCUCCACAUCCUAAAAUUCAAUUUUCAGAGACUCAUUACAAUGCACAGUUGGUAAAUUGGCUUGGAUUUCUGAGACACAUACGGUUACAACCUCAGAUCUAAUGUCACUAACCUUGUCCUGGGUAGUCUGUGGACACAGGAAAUACCAGGCCAUAGUGUGGCUUCUGCCCUGAAGGCCUGAGAAGAAUGAAAGGGAUGUUCCCUCUCCUGUGCCAUCGAUAAUGUAGUGCCUAACCUAUGCACCUUAUGUGGGAAGAUGUACCACGGCCCUUAUAGUGGAGGAGGAUUGGUUCCCUGGGAGACUGUUCCUUAGCCAAUGGCAAAUAGAUUUUAUGUGUCUUCUGAAUAGAAUGUUAUUCUCUAAUAAAAAUUACACUAGGUUCCUCUUCUUUCCUAUUGCCCAAUUAAAUACUCUACAUUUAUUCGUUCAAAUA